This 585-nucleotide ribosomal RNA is filed under the name Staphylococcus aureus. Its description in RNAcentral is "bacterial SSU rRNA". It matches the Rfam family "Bacterial small subunit ribosomal RNA", at positions 1 to 568 of the family's 1533-position model. The record is from RNAcentral. Lineage: Bacteria; Bacillati; Bacillota; Bacilli; Caryophanales; Staphylococcaceae.
UUUAUGGAGAGUUUGAUCCUGGCUCAGGAUGAACGCUGGCGGCGUGCCUAAUACAUGCAAGUCGAGCGAACGGAUGAGAAGCUUGCUUCUCUGAUGUUAGCGGCGGACGGGUGAGUAACACGUGGAUAACCUACCUAUAAGACUGGGAUAACUUCGGGAAACCGGAGCUAAUACCGGAUAAUAUUUUGAACUGCAUGGUUCAAAAGUGAAAGACGGUCUUGCUGUCACUUAUAGAUGGAUCCGCGCUGCAUUAGCUAGUUGGUAAGGUAACGGCUUACCAAGGCAACGAUGCAUAGCCGACCUGAGAGGGUGAUCGGCCACACUGGAACUGAGACACGGUCCAGACUCCUACGGGAGGCAGCAGUAGGGAAUCUUCCGCAAUGGGCGAAAGCCUGACGGAGCAACGCCGCGUGAGUGAUGAAGGUCUUCGGAUCGUAAAACUCUGUUAUUAGGGAAGAACAUAUGUGUAAGUAACUGUGCACAUCUUGACGGUACCUAAUCAGAAAGCCACGGCUAACUACGUGCCAGCAGCCGCGGUAAUACGUAGGUGGCAAGCGUUAUCCGGAAUUAUUGGGCGUAAAGCGC